This 405-nucleotide ribosomal RNA is filed under the name Cicurina sp. TK188524. Its description in RNAcentral is "eukaryotic LSU rRNA". The stretch from base 317 to 405 matches the Rfam family "Eukaryotic large subunit ribosomal RNA", at positions 1 to 89 of the family's 3401-position model. The record is from RNAcentral. Lineage: Eukaryota; Metazoa; Arthropoda; Arachnida; Araneae; Dictynidae.
GCGAGACUUGGUGUGAAUUGCAGGACACAUUGAGCACUUACUUUUCGAACGCACAUUGCGGCCUCGGGUCCUACCCGGGGCCACGUCUGUCUGAGGGUCGGAUUAUGCUUGCAGAAGGAAGUUUCUUCCUGAUUGGUUGUGCCGGCUGCGUCCGCCGACCUAAAUUGUGUGAGUUUUCUGACCCCGGCCGAGAGGCAUGCCACGAGAGGAUGUCCGAGAGCGGGAGCGGCAAAGUGCCUGCCUGCAAGCUUGGACCAGUGGUGGAAACCUGUGCUGGGGAAUUCAGAUGUGGAGUCUAUCUCCUACUUAACUUUGUCGACCUCAGAUCAGGCGAGACGACCCGCUGAAUUUAAGCAUAUAACUAAGCGGAGGAAAAGAAACCAACCAGGAUUCCCUCAGUAACGG